ACGAACGCUGCCGGCAUGCCUAACACAUGCAAGUCGAACGAAGGUUUCGGCUUUAGUGGCGCACGGGGUGCGUAACGCGUGGGAAUUUGCCCUCUGGUACGGAAUAACUCAGGGAAACUUGAGCUAAUCCCGUAUAAUGACUUCGGUCCAAAGAUUUAUCGCCUGAGGAUGAGCCCGCGUCGGAUUAGCUAGUUGGUGGGGUAAAGGCUCACCAAGGCGACGAUCCGUAGCUGGUCUGAGAGGAUGAUCAGCCACACUGGGAUUGAGACACGGCCCAGACUCCUACGGGAGGCAGCAGUGGGGAAUAUUGGACAAUGGGCGCAAGCCUGAUCCAGCAAUGCCGCGUGAGUGAUGAAGGCCUUAGGGUUGUAAAGCUCUUUUACCCGGGAUGAUAAUGACAGUACCG
Molecule: ribosomal RNA, 406 nt
Filed under: bacterium Ellin6063
Lineage: Bacteria; Pseudomonadati; Pseudomonadota; Alphaproteobacteria; Sphingomonadales; Sphingomonadaceae
Description: bacterial SSU rRNA
Rfam family: Bacterial small subunit ribosomal RNA
Source: RNAcentral